This 253-nucleotide unclassified non-coding RNA is filed under the name uncultured Gammaproteobacteria bacterium. RNAcentral's name for it is "contains 16S-23S intergenic spacer region". It matches the Rfam family "Bacterial small subunit ribosomal RNA", at positions 524 to 776 of the family's 1533-position model. Lineage: Bacteria; Pseudomonadati; Pseudomonadota; Gammaproteobacteria. The record is from RNAcentral.
UACAGAGGGUGCGAGCGUUAAUCGGAAUGACUGGGCGUAAAGGGCGCGUAGGUGGCUUGAUAAGUUAGCUGUGAAAUCCCUGGGCUUAACCUGGGAACUGCAGUUAAUACUAUUGAGCUAGAGUAAGGUAGAGGGAAGUGGAAUUUCCGGUGUAGCGGUGAAAUGCGUAGAUAUCGGAAGGAACACCAGUGGCGAAGGCGGCUUCCUGGACGACUAUUGACGCUGAGGCGCGAAAGCGUGGGGAGCAAACAGG